Molecule: ribosomal RNA, 465 nt
Filed under: uncultured bacterium
Lineage: Bacteria
Description: bacterial SSU rRNA
Rfam family: Bacterial small subunit ribosomal RNA
Source: RNAcentral
CCUACGGGGGGCUGCAGUGAGGAAUUUUCCGCAAUGGGCGCAAGCCUGACGGAGCGACGCCGCGUGAGGGAUGACGGCCUUCGGGUUGUAAACCUCUUUUAUUAGGGAAAAAGGCAAUCGUGCUAAUACCACGGUUGUUUGAUGUUACCUGUUGAAUAAGCCCCGGCUAACUACGUGCCAGCAGCCGCGGUAAUACGUAGGGGGCGAGCGUUGUCCGGAGUUACUGGGCGUAAAGAGCGUGUAGGCGGUUGGAAAAGUCAGGUGUGAAAUUCUUCGGCUCAACCGGGGGACUGCGCCUGAAACUUUCCGACUGGAGUUCGGGAGGGGCAACUGGAAUUCCUGGUGUAACGGUGAAAUGUGUAGAUAUCAGGAGGAACACCCGUGGCGAAGGCGGGUUGCUGGACCGAAACUGACGCUGAGACGCGAAAGCGUGGGUAGCAAACAGGAUUAGAUACCCCGGUAGUC